UGGUUAAAAAUGAAAGCACAAAGGAAACUUGCCCUUUGCAGGCAGGAAGUCACGGAAGCAGGCUUCACUGAGUGAAGUCACCAAGCUGCAUAAAACAAGAAAGGCACGACACAAAGCUGCAAUGUGAUGAUGCCAGCAACUUUUUACUGUUCGGUGCAUUCAGCACAGUUGUUCCUUCCAGAGGUCACACACUCUCGCCCCCUACUAGUGCUUUCUUUAAUGAUGCGAAGCAGUUCUCUCACCCUCUGUCAAACAUUUUGCCUGAAUUCUCAGUGGCAACACAAGAGCUGAAUGGUUCAGCUGCGAGGAUUAAAGAGGUGGGUUUAAAAUGUAUGUAUAUCCUUCAAGUGUAAAAUUUAAAUUAGAAAACAGAGACACCCUUGCUUGCUCUGCCUUGGAUUUUGUGUAAAGGUCAGAAUUCAUCACUGCUGGGGUCCCACUGAAUUGAAGCAGUUUCAUCAAGGAUGAACCUGGGGCUAUUUACUACAGACAAGGCUUGUCAGCUUGGAUCUUUCUGAUUUUGAAUGCACACCUCAAAAUAAGUGGUAGAGGAGAAUGGGGACAAGAUUAUCAGGUGACUGGUACAUAGCCAAUGAGCAUAAAAGUUAAAACUAUAUAUAUGAGGCCUUGAUUAAUGCAGUUUUGGCAUCUAGACAGGGACAGAUGCAUUGCACACGUAAGAAUGCCAAGAAGAGAGUUAUCACAGCUUUAGUGAAAGGAAAAAGGUAGGUAUCAUCAGCACUGAGGGGUUUCCCAAUAAUUGAGGGAGAACAACGUAAUUUGCCUCAGGCCUCCAAUUUAGAUAAGUUAGACUCUGUCUCCAAUGUGUUACAUGAUAUAUUCAUGUACAAAGAGGUUCAUUGACUUGGUCCUGGUCUUACAGCUCUGCAGCACAUCUCUCAUAAGACAGGAAGUAAUGCAGCUCUGACCAACACCCAAGUGCUCAGCAAUGUUUUAUUUCUCACAUAAGCAUCAACUUCUCAGAACUUAGAUCUUGCUGAAAAGAAAUAAGACAUCCACAAACAAACUGAAGUGCCAGAAAUUCUCUUUGUGGAGUUUCAAGCUAACAA
RNAcentral lists this long non-coding RNA (1070 nucleotides) under Phasianus colchicus (ring-necked pheasant). RNAcentral's name for it is "lncRNA (ENSPCLG00000001401.1)". The record is from RNAcentral. Lineage: Eukaryota; Metazoa; Chordata; Aves; Galliformes; Phasianidae.